Molecule: long non-coding RNA, 3099 nt
Organism: Mustela putorius furo (domestic ferret)
Lineage: Eukaryota; Metazoa; Chordata; Mammalia; Carnivora; Mustelidae
Source: Ensembl
NNNGGGCGAGCCCUGGUCGCGCGCCUGCAGGGUCAGCUCGAAGGCGCGCAGCUGCUCGUGGUCGAAGGCGCGCUGCGCGAACACCACCCCGCUCUGCGCACUCACGGACACGUAGGAUUCCAGCGCCCGUGGCUCCAGGUCGCUGGCGAUGAUGGAGUAGGAGACGCGACCGUUGGGCCCCAGAUCUGGGUCAAAGGCGCUGACUUGGGCGAUGGAGGCUCCAGGAAGGUUGUUCUCGGCAAUGUGAACCAAAUAGAAAGGCUGUUGGAAAACUGGUGCAUUGUCGUUGACAUCAAUUAUGUUCAAGUGUGCAGUGUGUCGUCCACCAUCCUUUGCUUCCACCCCAAUUGUGUAGCUCUCUCUCUCUUCAAAGUCCAGUUCUCCACCAGUGGUGAGUUCCCCUGUUUUACUAUCCAGCUUGAACAGCUGUCUCACUACAUUGCCAGUGUUGAUGAAAGCAUAUGUGAUCUCAGCAUUGACCCCCUCAUCCAAGUCAGUGGCCAUCACACUUAGUACAGAGGAGCCCGUGGGCAGGUUCUCUUGAACAGUGGCCCUAUACACAUCCUGGGUGAACACUGGUGGGUUGUCAUUUGCAUCUGCCACAACCACAAUUACCUGGGUAGUGCAGCUUCUUGCUGGGUCCCCCCCAUCCACAGCAGUGAGGACCAGGUGGUGGCAGGACUGCUCUUCCCUGUCCAGGGGAGUCUUCACUACCAGUUCUGGGUACCUACUGCCAUCUGGGUUCUCUUUCUGAAUCAAAGAGAAGUGCGGAUUGGGACUGAGGUAGUACUGCUGCAGGGAAUUGACACCUACAUCAAAAUCUUGAGCGGAUUCCAGGGAAAAAGUGGCUCCAGUUAGGGCCAGUUCACUGAUUUCCAGUUCAGUGAUAUUUUGGCUAAAGGUCGGUGGGUUAUCAUUGAUAUCCUGAAUUACCACACUUAUAUGAAAGAAGUUCAAAGGCUUUUCCGUGACCAUUUCGAAUUCUAGAACACAUGUUGACUUCUUGCCACAAAUCUGCUCUCGGUCUAUACGGUCGCUCACAAGUAAGUCCCCGUUCUCAGUACUCACUGUAAAGAAUUUCUUCUGUGCAAUAAUCCGCAGGUUUCGGGUAGGCAGAUCUCGCAUGCCAAGCCCCAGAUCCUUGGCGAGGUUCCCCACCAGUGAGCCCAUGGCCAGCUCCUCGGGAACAGUGUAGCGGACCUGCUCUGGGAGCACCGGACAGAACAAAGACAGCAAAAAGAGAAAUGGCAUUCGUCUCCGCCCAGCUGGGCCCUUCUGUCCCAAGCGGUCUCCCAUCCCAAUUUCUGCGACGUUGCCUUUCUGAUUCCGAAGAGCUACGAUCGCUAAAUGAUCCCAAGAACUCUCUGAGCAGGAGUAACUCCUUGAUUUGUCUUGGCAGGCGGACUCUCUGACAGAUAUCUCGGCGGCAGAGAACCAGAGAGUGAGUGUCCAGUUACCGCGGUUCCGCCUUGGGGAGGCGAUUGCUUUGUGUCGGGAGAAGCUGAUACUACGCUCAGUACUAGCCAACAGCGGCACCCCGCGUCCCGGCUGCAGAACUGCAGUAGUGGUUACUAAAUGAGCUCCAAAUCAGGAGUGGGUUAAAAGAAAAUUCUACUGUAUCCUUAUACAGAUACUCAUUCUUCCAAUUUUACAAGGAUUUUUAACAUCUUAAAUAUUUACUAUAUCUCCGAUCUGGCGGUCAUUUUAUUUGAAUUUGAACUUUACCCAUCUAAAUCAAGUGAGUUUUACUCUUCAAAGAGCAGAGGCAACUUGCUUGAAGAUGUUUACUGACAUCGUCGUGGUUUUUGUUUCCGUUUUCAUAAAAUGGUCAUAAUAACUUCUUCCCUGUGUUCCUUAGUAAAACUGAAGACCAAAUGAAAUGAUAUGCAGAAAAUGACACAAAUGAAAGUACUGGUGGUGGCGAGGGCAGAAAGUGUAAUAUGAAAAUUCUUGAAAUAUCAGCUUGAUAGUAAGAUUAUUCCACUUGUUUCUUUUCUUCUAACUUGCAAACGUUACAAAUCUCAUAGCUUUUAGUUUUAGCCUAUGUUUCACUUCCUUCUAUAUUAUCAUUACCACGUUACCCCCAAACUAGACAGGUAAGCAGAGAUUGGUUGUCCUUACAAAAUACAAGUGUGGUAAGAAGCAAGAAACUCUUUUCCUUAGUUUCCAAGUGUCUAUGUUUAACUCACCAUGAUUUUAAAACUAUCCACCGAUUUUAUUUUUUGCACACUACACUACCAUUGUCUUUAACUGUACUGUUUCUUCUCAAGUCACUUAGCAAUGGUGAGCUAUUUGAAAUUUGGGAAUGAAGUAUGAGUCCUUAUAAUUAUAUAUUCUAAAGAAAGAAUCUAUGUUGUCCCCAGAUCACAAUCAGAUCAUCCUAACUCUUUGUACUGACAUUCUUUCCAUGUCAAUUUUCAUGUUCCUGAUAGGUGUCUUACAGCUUUUUUUUUUUUUUAAGAUUUGAUUUGUCAUAGAGAAACAGACAGAGAGCACACAAACAGGGGGAGCAACAGAGAGAAGGAGAAGCAGAUGCCCCACUGAGCAUGGAACCAGAUACAGGACUGGGAUCAUGAUAAGAGCUGAAGGCAGAUGCUUAACCGACUGAGCCACCCAGGUGUCCUGAGGCCUUACUGUUUUAAUUCAAUUUCUAAACUAGAAUCUUCAUAAAGACAUUUUUUAAACCUAUACAUUGUAAUUCUACAACUUAGCAGUAGGUAGCAAUGUUGAACUCAUAGUGGAAUAGCAUUAGACAUCUUAAACUACUCAUUGUAUUCAGGAUUCUAGGCAGAAACUCACCCACAUAUCUACUUCAUACAAACAUAAAAAAUAUAGACUCAAGACUUUGCUCCAAAACAUGACUGAAGAAGUGUCUUUCCAGCAUGUUAUGAACACUUGAAGGAGAGCUAUCUUUUCAGAGCACAUAUGAAACUAAAGAUUCAAAUAUGUAAACAAUUAUAUAGUAUAUAUAGCAUAUAUGCUCAGAGAGUUAUAGCAAGCAUUUUAUUACCUAAAGUCUAUUGAAGUUUAUAGAGGUUUAAGAGGUAUUUUCCAUUGCAUGAAAAAGUUAACAUAGGACACAUAUCCAAAAUGUAUAAC